GAUGAAGAACGUAGCGAAAUGCGAUACUUGGUGUGAAUUGCAGAAUCCCGUGAACCAUCGAGUCUUUGAACGCAAGUUGCGCCCGAAGCCGUCAGGCCGAGGGCACGCCUGCCUGGGCGUCACACGCCGUUGCCCCCCCGCGCCCCGCACCCAACUCUUUGGGAGCGACCGCGGGGCGGGCUGAUGAUGGCCUCCCGUGCGCUCCGCCGCGCGGUUGGCCCAAAUACCGAGUCCCCGGCGACGUGCGCCACGACGAUCGGUGGUUGAGAGACCUCUGUCGCAAGUCGUGCGCGCCCGUCGCGUCACGCGGGCUCGCAUAGCGCCUCGCGCCGCACCCGGUGCGGAGCUUUCAACGCGACCCCAGGUCAGGCGGGGUUACCCGCUGAGUUUAAGCAUAUCAAUAAGCGGAGGA
RNAcentral lists this unclassified non-coding RNA (412 nucleotides) under soil metagenome. RNAcentral's name for it is "partial contains 5.8S ribosomal RNA, internal transcribed spacer 2, and large subunit ribosomal RNA". The stretch from base 1 to 122 matches the Rfam family "5.8S ribosomal RNA", at positions 35 to 154 of the family's 154-position model. The record is from RNAcentral.